GCGGCAGCGGCGGCGGCGGGGGCGGAGGCAUGGUCCAGGCCCGGCGGGUACGUCCCGCCGCCUAGUAAGCGCCCGGGCGGCGCGGCCCGGGCCGAGCCAGCACGCUAAGCCAGAGAAGGACGGGGACAAGGCUCUCGGGGACUGAGCGUGCCACCCCAGUGAAAGAGGCAAUGAUUAACCUGGGAGACUGAUGCACAGGUGGAGGAAUUCCAGACAUAGCAGCAGGCUUGUGAAGGGCUUCUGGCUUCGCUUUGGCUGCACCCUGCUCCAGAGGGGCUCCGAGUAAGGAAGCUUCUGGAUCCAUGCAAGUCAUUGCCCCAGUGCUCCUGGAUCGAGGGCCAAUCUCUGCCAUCUGCACCUUCAACUGGGCAGCCCACACUUCCCAGCUUCUUCUCCAUCUCGGGCCCCUGCUGCCUCUUCCCUACUCAAGAUACUGAGCUUCAGAGAGGGUAACAUGCCUGCCAUGGUCACCCAGCAAGGUGGGGCAUGCUUCAGACUAGCUGCUCUUCUCUCCUUCUCCAGACAGACUGCAGUUUUUCAAAAUGGAAAUAUCUUUAUUUUUUAUUUUAAUUUUUUCCCAAAGUAAUACAGACUCUUUGUAAAACAAAAUUAUAUAUGUGUGUAUAUAUGUGUACAAUUCUAUGUGUGUGUAUUUUUCACUUAAUUAUUAUUGUGGACAUCAUUUUAAUGAGUAUAUAAUAGACCAUGAGGUGAAUGUCACAUAAUAU
RNAcentral lists this long non-coding RNA (728 nucleotides) under Equus asinus (donkey). RNAcentral describes it as "lncRNA (ENSEASG00005034642.1)". The record is from RNAcentral. Lineage: Eukaryota; Metazoa; Chordata; Mammalia; Perissodactyla; Equidae.